RNAcentral lists this long non-coding RNA (469 nucleotides) under Fukomys damarensis (Damara mole-rat). Its description in RNAcentral is "lncRNA (ENSFDAG00000032994.1)". Lineage: Eukaryota; Metazoa; Chordata; Mammalia; Rodentia; Bathyergidae. The record is from RNAcentral.
CUGCAUCUGCCAGGCUUCCUGAACUAGAGGUCGCUGCCCCGGCUGAGUACCAGAGAGCAGCAACAUCCGGGCAAAGUCCUAUGCAGAGUGAAGGCCUAAAGCCCAGAACUUGGGCAGCAACUCACCAUCUUCCUCCUCUCCACCUCCAAAAAUGAGAGGCAGAAGGGAACCACCUGGGGCCCAGCCUGUCUUCUGCCAGCCUCGUUACAGUGUUCAUCACCAUUAUUUACUGUGAUGUGCUCUGGGCUGGCCUCAAGGCUGGCACCAGACAAGACAUAAAGAAGAUAAAGCCCACCCCUGGGGCUACUACCAUCAGGGGUGGAGUAGGGGUGACACACAGGGUGACUAGUAGGCCUGGACACAGAGGUGGCUGUGCAUAAAUGGAGCAUCGAUGUUUCAGAUAUUGUUUACGCUCUGCUACUGUUUCUCAGAAGCCACCCAGCCCUCGUCCAGACAAGGAGACAGACAC